This is a transfer RNA of Ovis aries (sheep), 73 nucleotides long. It matches the Rfam family "tRNA". Rfam says of the family: Transfer RNA (tRNA) molecules are approximately 80 nucleotides in length. Their secondary structure includes four short double-helical elements and three loops (D, anti-codon, and T loops). Lineage: Eukaryota; Metazoa; Chordata; Mammalia; Artiodactyla; Bovidae. The record is from Rfam.
UCCCUAGUGGUCCAGUGGCAAAGACUCUGAGCUCCCAAUUCAGGGAGCCUGGGUUUGAUCCCUGGUCAGGGAA